This 465-nucleotide ribosomal RNA is filed under the name Vreelandella stevensii. RNAcentral's name for it is "partial 16S ribosomal RNA". It matches the Rfam family "Bacterial small subunit ribosomal RNA", at positions 338 to 795 of the family's 1533-position model. Lineage: Bacteria; Pseudomonadati; Pseudomonadota; Gammaproteobacteria; Oceanospirillales; Halomonadaceae. The record is from RNAcentral.
CCUACGGGCGGCAGCAGUGGGGAAUAUUGGACAAUGGGGGCAACCCUGAUCCAGCCAUGCCGCGUGUGUGAAGAAGGCCCUCGGGUUGUAAAGCACUUUCAGUGAGGAAGAACGCCUGGUGGUUAAUACCCAUCAGGAAAGACAUCACUCACAGAAGAAGCACCGGCUAACUCCGUGCCAGCAGCCGCGGUAAUACGGAGGGUGCGAGCGUUAGUCGGAAUUACUGGGCGUAAAGCGCGCGUAGGUGGCUUGAUAAGCCGGUUGUGAAAGCCCCGGGCUCAACCUGGGAACGGCAUCCGGAACUGUCAAGCUAGAGUGCAGGAGAGGAAGGUAGAAUUCCCGGUGUAGCGGUGAAAUGCGUAGAGAUCGGGAGGAAUACCAGUGGCGAAGGCGGCCUUCUGGACUGACACUGACACUGAGGUGCGAAAGCGUGGGUAGCAAACAGGAUUAGAUACCCCAGUAGUC